RNAcentral lists this ribosomal RNA (253 nucleotides) under uncultured bacterium. RNAcentral describes it as "partial 16S ribosomal RNA". It matches the Rfam family "Bacterial small subunit ribosomal RNA", at positions 524 to 776 of the family's 1533-position model. The record is from RNAcentral.
UACGGAGGGUGCAAGCGUUAUCCGGAUUCACUGGGUUUAAAGGGUGCGUAGGCGGACAGGUAAGUCAGUGGUGAAAUCUCUGGGCUUAACUCAGAAACUGCCGUUGAUACUAUUUGUCUUGAAUGUCAUGGGGGUAAGCGGAAUAUGUCAUGUAGCGGUGAAAUGCUUAGAUAUGACAUAGAAUACCAAUUGCGAAGGCAGCUGGCUACACGAAUAUUGACACUCAGGCACGAAAGCGUGGGGAUCAAACAGG